AAAUACCAAGGCGCUUGAGAGAACUCGGGUGAAGGAACUAGGCAGAAUGGCACCGUAACUUCGGGAGAAGGUGCGCCGGUGAGGGUGAAGCAUUUACUGCGUAAGCCCACGCCGGUCGAAGAUACCAGGCCGCUGCGACUGUUUAUUAAAAACACAGCACUCUGCAAACACGAAAGUGGACGUAUAGGGUGUGACGCCUGCCCGGUGCCGGAAGGUUAAUUGAUGGGGUUAGCUAACGCGAAGCUCUUGAUCGAAGCCCCGGUAAACGGCGGCCGUAACGAUAACGGUCCUAAGGUAGCGAAAUUCCUUGUCGGGUAAGUUCCGACCUGCACGAAUGGCGUAACGAUGGCGGCGCUGUCUCCACCCGAGACUCAGUGAAAUUGAAAUCGCUGUGAAGAUGCAGUGUAUCCGCGGCUAGACGGAAAGACCCCGUGAACCUUUACUAUAGCUUUGCACUGGACUUUGAAUUUGCUUGUGUAGGAUAGGUGGGAGGCUUUGAAGCGUGGACGCCAGUCUGCGUGGAGCCAACCUUGAAAUACCACCCUGGCAACUUUGAGGUUCUAACUCAGGUCCGUUAUCCGGAUCGAGGACAGUGUAUGGUGGGUAGUUUGACUGGGGCGGUCUCCUCCUAAAGAGUAACGGAGGAGUACGAAGGUGCGCUCAGACCGGUCGGAAAUCGGUCGUAGAGUAUAAAGGCAAAAGCGCGCUUGACUGCGAGACAGACACGUCGAGCAGGUACGAAAGUAGGUCUUAGUGAUCCGGUGGUUCUGUAUGGAAGGGCCAUCGCUCAACGGAUAAAAGGUACUCCGGGGAUAACAGGCUGAUACCGCCCAAGAGUUCAUAUCGACGGCGGUGUUUGGCACCUCGAUGUCGGCUCAUCACAUCCUGGGGCUGAAGCCGGUCCCAAGGGUAUGGCUGUUCGCCAUUUAAAGUGGUACGCGAGCUGGGUUUAGAACGUCGUGAGACAGUUCGGUCCCUAUCUGCCGUGGACGUUUGAGAUUCGAGAGGGGCUGCUCCUAGUACGAGAGGACCGGAGUGGACGAACCUCUGGUGUUCCGGUUGUCACGCCAGUGGCAUUGCCGGGUAGCUAUGUUCGGAACAGAUAACCGCUGAAAGCAUCUAAGCGGGAAACUAGCCUCAAGAUGAGAUCUCACUGGAACCUUGAGUUCCCUGAAGGGCCGUCGAAGACUACGACGUUGAUAGGUGGGGUGUGUAAGCGCUGUGAGGCGUUGAGCUAACCCAUACUAAUUGCCCGUGAGGCUUGACC
Molecule: ribosomal RNA, 1267 nt
Filed under: metagenome
Description: bacterial LSU rRNA
Rfam family: Bacterial large subunit ribosomal RNA
Source: RNAcentral